UAUAUAUAUACCCUUUCAUCGACCCCACCAUUAAAACCAAAUAUCAAUACUUUUGUCACCCCUUAUAGGAUCAACAUAAUGGCGUAGGGGGAGACGCUGAUGAACACCGAUGAAUAUUCAUCGUGUUCAUCAGGUUGUUUUUCAGAAGUUCACUGAAAAGCCUCAAAUCCGAAAAAACAAUAAAUCAAUCCCAUCUAAAAUCACUCCCUGAACACGUUUCUAACCAUAGAUUAAACAAACAAUAAUUUCGUAGAUCACACACCGUUCCCAAAUUGAACUCUAAUUUUGAAAACCUCAGAUCAAUGAUUAAAAAUUCUAAAGUCACGCAAUUAAGUACAUAUAAGACAAGAAGCAACAAGAAAAAAUGAGGAAAAUGCAAGAAUUAAGGAGAUGAGGGAUUCGCCAGAGCUUUUUAACUCCAGCAAGGGUUUUCGGACAAUCGUAAGGUGAGUUUUCUUUCUCUCUCUGUGUAUUAUUUCUGCUUGUGGUUUGCUUCUCUUCCUUUACUCCUUCUGUCUCUUCCUCCUUUGUGUAUUAUGUAUCCGAUGAGGGUGUGUGGUUUAAACUCCGGUUAACUCAAGUUAUAACAAGGACCUUGAGUAACCUUCUCUUGGAGCUUUAAUGAGUUUUAGGUUGGGUAGAGAUUUAUGGUUAUUUCUUCCUCUUGAGAGUGCAACGAGAGGAGGAUUUUAUAGGGAGUGAAGUGAAGGAUUGGGAUGAAAAAAAGAGGGGGGAAUGUAUUUCUAUUAGAGGAGUUUUUGAGGGAAUUCUCAUUAGUGAUCCUCGUGAAUUGAUAGAGUGUAAGGUUGGGAUCAGUUUGAUGAGAAAGUUUGUUAUAAUUUGUGUUUGUUUGACGAAUGUAUGAACUUGAUUUUGGUGAAUGGUAUGUAUGUGAGGAAUGUUCAUGUGUUUGUGUAGUUGCUUCUGCGUUUGUCAAUUGUUUUGAUAUUUGUUUUCACCUUAAUUUAUUUAAUUCAAAUAUGUAUGCAUGUGUUAUGCUGUGAUAAAUGAUGGAUUGGCCAUAAAUGAUGAAAAAUUACGUGUUCUGCUUUGCCUACUAAUUAAUUUGAUUUAUGUUUUCUUUUAAUUUCAAAACUAUGCAUAUUGUUAUAUGUGUUUGUAUGAUGUUAGUGUUGUUGAUGAUGCUUUUGGUGUUGAUGUUGUUGUGAUUAUGUCAAUGAGGUGUAUGCUAUUAGUUUGUCACGUGGGUUUUUUCUCAAUUUGUUGGACUUGUUUUUUAGGAUGAUGCACAAUCAUGAGGGAUAAAUAGGGUGAUGACAUGAUAAUGCCAUAAGUUAAAUGGGAUGGCAUGAUGAAGCAGGAAAAACAUGCACAUGAUAUGUUGAUGAUGAAUGAUGGAGUUGAAGUCAUGCUGGAAGCGUGAGGCUCAAAACAAAUAAGCAUUUUUUAUGUUUUUAUUUACAUUUUAUGUAUGUGCUGUACCCUAAAAUUUAUCCUCUCCUUUUUACUUUUCAUCUAACAUGUGGCUUGAGUUUUCAGUUGUACUCAUUCAUGCCUCAUUCAUGUUCAUCCUUCAUUCAUGACUAACACUUGCUAAC
Molecule: long non-coding RNA, 1559 nt
Filed under: Lathyrus oleraceus (garden pea)
Lineage: Eukaryota; Viridiplantae; Streptophyta; Magnoliopsida; Fabales; Fabaceae
Description: Pisum sativum (pea) long non-coding RNA (PSAT_LNC010111)
Source: RNAcentral